Callithrix jacchus (white-tufted-ear marmoset) is the source of this 390-nucleotide long non-coding RNA. RefSeq lists it as uncharacterized. The record is from RefSeq and is a predicted model, not a curated record. Lineage: Eukaryota; Metazoa; Chordata; Mammalia; Primates; Cebidae.
GUUUCACCUCCCUGUUCUUUGCAUGGUUCGCCCUAGCGACGCAAAGAAUUGGGAAGUGAAACCGGCCCACUCAGCCUGUAAGUCAAGACUGCAACGUGUCGUCCUCCACACCACCCUCCAGGGCCUGUGUUUUCCAGGGUUCUGAGAAUGGACCCCAUUGUGACCAUGUGGCUUGUCCAGAGAGGCUGGAAUUCCUGCCCUGGGUGAAAAAGAUGAAUUCCUGUGGAGAGAAGGGGUCUCGGGCUCCCCAGGCUAUGUCCCAGAGAAGCCACAUGCUACGGACAUCACAGACCCCCGAACCCCCCCGUAUUUUGCUUGUCUCCUGAACAUCCCAGAGGUCUCUGCUACUGCUCUGUCCAUAGCGAAAGAACAAAGCACUGUCUGUCUGUC